AACGUAGGACGCAAGCGUUAUCCGGAGUUACUGGGCGUAAAGGGCAGGCAGGCGGGCUGAUAAGUUGGGUGUGAAAUCUCCGUGGCUUAACCGGGAGGGUGCAUCUGAGACUGUCAGCCUGGAGGGCAGCAGAGGAGCGUGGAAUUCCGGGUGGAGUGGUGAAAUGCGUAGAGAUCCGGAGGAACACCAGAGGCGAAAGCGGGGCUCUGGGCUGCACCUGACGCUGAACUGCGAAAGCCAGGGGAGCGAACGGG
This 254-nucleotide ribosomal RNA is filed under the name uncultured bacterium. Its description in RNAcentral is "partial 16S ribosomal RNA". It matches the Rfam family "Bacterial small subunit ribosomal RNA", at positions 524 to 776 of the family's 1533-position model. The record is from RNAcentral.